GGCAGUAAAUGAUGACAACUUGGGAAUCUCUCUGAAAUUUCUGAAGACAACAUUAUGGUCUGAUACUGCC
This is a small nucleolar RNA of Haliotis rubra (blacklip abalone), 70 nucleotides long. RefSeq annotates it as small nucleolar RNA SNORD79. Lineage: Eukaryota; Metazoa; Mollusca; Gastropoda; Lepetellida; Haliotidae. The record is from RefSeq and is a predicted model, not a curated record. The transcript has a single exon.